This 240-nucleotide unclassified non-coding RNA is filed under the name soil metagenome. RNAcentral describes it as "partial contains 5.8S ribosomal RNA, internal transcribed spacer 2, and large subunit ribosomal RNA". The record is from RNAcentral.
AAGACUAUAGACCUGCGGAGUACCUGCGGAAGGAUCAUUAUCGUAUUGUAACAAUUGGGGGGGCCACCGUGGGCUGUCGCUGACCCUUUGAAAGGGGGGGUCGUGCACGCCCCCAUAGUGUCAUCCUCAUACAAUCCAACUCACCUCUGUGCAUCACCGCGUGGGUUCCUUUCUGGGUCGAGUCAGACUGGCUCAGAAAAAAGGGGCUUGCGUUUCCCAUACAAAUACCCUUAUAAAUCC